UUUAUUUUUGUUUCUUUUAUGCGGUGGGAUAACAUGGAGCAGUGGGGUGGAGCUCAACACUAUACGAUUGUCACUGUUGACAUCCGAGUUGGUUUGUAAGUUUGAAAGAUCUGACUACUGGUUUCUUUUUCUUUUUUAAGAGGGAAAGAGAGAUGCAUAGGCAUGUGAGAUAUGCCUCGCGGCUGACGGUGGUGGUUGUUGUGAAGCUAGCAGCGGCGACGGGUUUGCCUUACAGGUUUUCAGUAUAAUAUUGCUGGCGAUUCAGUCUAGAAACUGGUUACGUACUGGGUUGCGACUGCGAAAAGAAGAAAAGAUGAUUCCGGUCGGAGACUAUGCUACAAAGAGAUCUAAAAAGGGCCUGAAGGGCCUGUUCGAGAAUCUUGGGUUUCUUCACAUUUGGGAUUUUCUUUAG
Molecule: long non-coding RNA, 412 nt
Filed under: Helianthus annuus (common sunflower)
Lineage: Eukaryota; Viridiplantae; Streptophyta; Magnoliopsida; Asterales; Asteraceae
Description: sRNA HanXRQr2_Chr08g0359361
Source: RNAcentral